Molecule: small nuclear RNA, 22 nt
Filed under: Arabidopsis thaliana (thale cress)
Lineage: Eukaryota; Viridiplantae; Streptophyta; Magnoliopsida; Brassicales; Brassicaceae
Description: snRNA_16024
Source: RNAcentral
UCUAGGCUCAGAAGGAGUUUAG